CCUACGGGAGGCAGCAGUGGGGAAUCUUGCGCAAUGGGCGAAAGCCUGACGCAGCCAUGCCGCGUGAAUGAUGAAGGUCUUAGGAUUGUAAAAUUCUUUCACCGGGGACGAUAAUGACGGUACCCGGAGAAGAAGCCCCGGCUAACUUCGUGCCAGCAGCCGCGGUAAUACGAAGGGGGCUAGCGUUGCUCGGAAUUACUGGGCGUAAAGGGAGCGUAGGCGGAUAGUUUAGUCAGAGGUGAAAGCCCAGGGCUCAACCUUGGAAUUGCCUUUGAUACUGGCUAUCUUGAGUUUGGGAGAGGUGAGUGGAACUCCGAGUGUAGAGGUGAAAUUCGUAGAUAUUCGGAAGAACACCAGUGGCGAAGGCGACUCACUGGCCCAAUACUGACGCUGAGGCUCGAAAGCGUGGGGAGCAAACAGGAUUAGAUACCCUGGUAGUCCACGCCGUAAACGAUGAGUGCUAGUUGUCGGCAUGCAUGCAUGUCGGUGACGCAGCUACGCAUAAGUCACUCCGCCGUCGGGAGGUACGGUCGCGAGAAUUAAACUAACGAAGAAGUAGUACGGCGNGAGACGUGCCGACGGACGACGACGAGGGAGGUUAGG
This 603-nucleotide ribosomal RNA is filed under the name uncultured bacterium. Its description in RNAcentral is "bacterial SSU rRNA". The stretch from base 1 to 516 matches the Rfam family "Bacterial small subunit ribosomal RNA", at positions 338 to 873 of the family's 1533-position model. The record is from RNAcentral.